Molecule: ribosomal RNA, 468 nt
Filed under: uncultured bacterium
Lineage: Bacteria
Description: partial 16S ribosomal RNA
Rfam family: Bacterial small subunit ribosomal RNA
Source: RNAcentral
GACGAACGCUGGCGGCGUGCUUAACACAUGCAAGUCGAACGGAAAGGCCCUGCUUUUGUGGGGUGCUCGAGUGGCGAACGGGUGAGUAACACGUGAGUAACCUGCCCUUGACUUUGGGAUAACUUCAGGAAACUGGGGCUAAUACCGGAUAGGAGCUCCUGCUGCAUGGUGGGGGUUGGAAAGUUUCGGCGGUUGGGGUUGGACUCGCGGCUUAUCAGCUUGUUGGUGGGGUAGUGGCUUACCAAGGCUUUGACGGGUAGCCGGCCUGAGAGGGUGACCGGCCCCAUUGGGACUGAGCUACGGCCCAGACUCCUACGGGAGGCAGCAGUGGGGAAUAUUGCACAAUGGGCGGAAGCCUGAUGCAGCAACGCCGCGUGCGGGAUGACGGCCUUCGGGUUGUAAACCGCUUUCGCCUGUGACGAAGCGUGAGUGACGGUAAUGGGUAAAGAAGCACCGGCUAACUACGUG